CACCACAGCCAUAUCACCCUGCAGCCCAAGACUGGUUGCCCACUGAAGCUAAGCAGGGUUGAGCCUGGUCAGUACCUGGAUGGGAGACCUUCUGGGAAAACUAGGUUGCUGUUGGAA
Molecule: ribosomal RNA, 117 nt
Filed under: Sinocyclocheilus grahami
Lineage: Eukaryota; Metazoa; Chordata; Actinopteri; Cypriniformes; Cyprinidae
Source: RNAcentral